Molecule: ribosomal RNA, 478 nt
Filed under: uncultured bacterium
Lineage: Bacteria
Description: partial 16S ribosomal RNA
Rfam family: Bacterial small subunit ribosomal RNA
Source: RNAcentral
GAUGAACGCUGGCGGCGUGCUUAACACAUGCAAGUCGAACGAGAAGUGAAGACGGAAACCUUCGGGCGGAAGGCUUUAUUUCGAGUGGCGGACGGGUGAGUAACGCGUGGGUAACCUGCCUCAUACAGGGGGAUAACAGUUGGAAACGACUGUUAAUACCGCAUAAGACCACAGCACCGCAUGGUGCGGGGGUAAAAACUCCGGUGGUAUGAGAUGGACCCGCGUCCGAUUAGCCAGUUGGCGGGGUAACGGCCCACCAAAGCGACGAUCGAUAGCCGAUCUGAGAGGAUGACCGGCCACAUUGGGACUGAGACACGGCCCAAACUCCUACGGGAGGCAGCAGUGGGGAAUAUUGCACAAUGGGGGAAACCCUGAUGCAGCGACGCCGCGUGAGUGAAGAAGUAUUUCGGUAUGUAAAGCUCUAUCAGCAGGGAAGAAAAUGACGGUACCUGAGUAAGAAGCCCCGGCUAACUACGUG